UGGGUGCGCGGGGCUGCCGCGGGGCGGCGGGACCGUGCUCGCCUCUGGCUUUUCGUCUCCAUUCCGACAUCGUGCACAUCUCCGGUGCAUGAAAAAGCUGUGGGAGAAAAUGGAUUUUGUGAGUUUGCUGCUUCUUUUCUUCUCGGCAGUGGCUGUGAGCAGAGCUCAGGUGCAGCAAGAUCCGUCGGCAGAGACCAGCGAGGGCAUCGGCAUCAACAUCACCUGUUCACACCCCAGUAUAGUGUCCAGCGACUCCAUCCACUGGUACCGCCAGCUCCCUGGCCGAGGACCCGCAUUCCUCGUCAGCGCCGUUAAAGGCUCCAAGGAGGUUCCGGACCUGGAGGGGCGGCUGUGGGUGUCGGCAGACCGCCGCUCCAGCUCCCUGUGGCUCGCCCGGCCCCGGCUCGGCGACGCGGCCGUGUAUUACUGCGCCGUGGGCGCACGGGAAUCGAAGCCGGGGCUGCGGUCGGGCACGAACCGCUUUGGGCGGGGCGGGGGCACAGUGCCGUCCGGGCCCGAAGGGGGCGCUGCCUGCACGGCAGCCAAACUCCUGGCAUCCUGA
Molecule: non-coding RNA, 562 nt
Organism: Phasianus colchicus (ring-necked pheasant)
Lineage: Eukaryota; Metazoa; Chordata; Aves; Galliformes; Phasianidae
Source: the annotation of a RefSeq genome assembly